AGAGUUUGAUCCUGGCUCAGGAUGAACGCUGGCGGCGCGCUUAAUACAUGCAAGUCGAGCGGGGAAUCAACUUCGGUUGAGACCUAGCGGCGGACGGGUGAGUAACACGUACGGAACCUGCCUUUCAGUGGGGGACAACCCACGGAAACGAGGGCUAAUCCCGCAUAUGGUAGGCCGGUCUGCGGACCGGUCUAGUAAAGCCUUCGGGCGCUGGAAGAGGGUCGUGCGGCCUAUCAGCUAGUUGGUGAGGUAACGGCUCACCAAGGCGAAGACGGGUAGCCGGACUGAGAGGUUGAUCGGCCACAUGGGGACUGAGAUACGGCCCCAACUCCUACGGGAGGCAGCAGUAAGGAAUCUUGCGCAAUGGGGGAAACCCUGACGCAGCGACGCCGCGUGGGUGAGGAAGGCCUUCGGGUCGUAAAACCCUGUGACAGGGGAGGAGAAAGGACCGUACCCUGGAAGCAAGCCUCGGCUAACUCCGUGCCAGCAGCCGCGGUAAUACGGAGGAGGCGAGCGUUAUCCGGAAUUACUGGGCGUCAAGGGCGUGUAGGUGGCCCUGGCCGGUCCUCGGUGUAAGCCCUCUGCUCAACGGAGGGAGGUCCGAGGAGACCGCAGGGCUUGAGGACCGGAGAGGGGGGUGGAAUUCUCGGUGGAGCGGUGAUAUGCGUAGAUAUCGGGAGGAACACCAGAGGCGAAGGCGGCCCCCUGGCCGGCACCUGACACUGAGGCGCGAAAGCGUGGGGAGCGAAGCGGAUUAGAUACCCGCGUAGUCCACGCCAUCAACGAUGGACCCUAGGUAUAGGGGGUAUCGACCCCCUCUGUGCCGGAGCUGACGCAUUAAGGGUCCCGCCUGGGGAGUACGGCCGCAAGGCUCAAACUCAAAGGAAUUGACGGGGGCCCGCACAAGCGGUGGAGCGUGUGGUUUAAUUCGAUGCUAAGCGCAGAACCUUACCCAGGCUUGAAGAGUCGGUGGUAGAACCCUGAAAGGGGGACGACCUUCGGGAGCCGGCUCAGAUGAUGCAUGGCUGUCGUCAGCUCGUGCCGUGAGGUGUUGGGUUAAGUCCCGCAACGAGCGCAACCCUCGCCGGCAGUUGCGAUUUCUGCCGGGACAGCGGCGCACAACGUCGAGGAAGGUGGGGAUGACGUCAAGUCCGCAUGUCUCUUAUGCCCGGGGCUACACACACGCUACAAUGGGCGGUUCAAUGGGUCGCCAAGGCGCGAGCCGGAGCUAAUCCCACCAAAGCCGCCCCCAGUGCGGAUUGCAGGCUGCAACCCGCCUGCAUGAAGUCGGAAUCGCUAGUAACCGCCGAUCAGCACGCGGCGGUGAAUACGUUCUCGGGCCUUGUACACACCGCCCGUCACGUCAUGAAAGCUGGUUCUGCCCGAAGGCGUCCCGGCUAACCCGUAAGGGAGGCUCGCGUCCACGGUGGGGCUGGUGAUUGGGACGAAGUCGUAACAAGGUAACC
RNAcentral lists this ribosomal RNA (1466 nucleotides) under uncultured bacterium. Its description in RNAcentral is "bacterial SSU rRNA". It matches the Rfam family "Bacterial small subunit ribosomal RNA". The record is from RNAcentral.